UCCUUCUCUAAAUUUAUCCAUAUAUAUGCUGAAGUUUUUUAUUGGUGAAAAUUAUGCUGAAUAAUCAUUAGUGUUGCACUUCUCUACAUGUCAAAUCUAUCUGCCUUUGAAACAAUUAAGUAAACUAUCAUUGACUUGUUUAUUUAUAUAAAUAAAUAGGGCCUUAUGAUUUGUAGAUUAUAAAUUACACCUUUUUAGACGGAUCAU
This 207-nucleotide long non-coding RNA is filed under the name Elaeis guineensis (African oil palm). RNAcentral's name for it is "long non-coding RNA (EGUI_LNC023865)". The record is from RNAcentral. Lineage: Eukaryota; Viridiplantae; Streptophyta; Magnoliopsida; Arecales; Arecaceae.